RNAcentral lists this ribosomal RNA (253 nucleotides) under uncultured bacterium. RNAcentral's name for it is "partial 16S ribosomal RNA". It matches the Rfam family "Bacterial small subunit ribosomal RNA", at positions 524 to 776 of the family's 1533-position model. The record is from RNAcentral.
UACGUAGGGGGCUAGCGUUGUCCGGAAUCAUUGGGCGUAAAGAGCGUGUAGGCGGUCCGGUAAGUCCGCUGUGAAAGUCGGGGGCUCAACCCUCGAAUGCCGGUGGAUACUGUCGGGCUAGAGUGCGGAAGAGGCGAGUGGAAUUCCUGGUGUAGCGGUGAAAUGACGCAGAUAUCAGGAGGAACACCUAUGCGAAGGCAGCUCGCUGGGACGUUACUGACGCUGAGACGCGAAAGCGUGGGGAGCAAACAGG